Molecule: ribosomal RNA, 285 nt
Filed under: Salmonella enterica subsp. salamae
Lineage: Bacteria; Pseudomonadati; Pseudomonadota; Gammaproteobacteria; Enterobacterales; Enterobacteriaceae
Description: partial 23S ribosomal RNA
Rfam family: Bacterial large subunit ribosomal RNA
Source: RNAcentral
CUGGAGGUAUCAGAAGUGCGAAUGCUGACAUAAGUAACGAUAAAGCGGGUGAAAAGCCCGCUCGCCGGAAGACCAAGGGUUCCUGUCCAACGUUAAUCGGGGCAGGGUGAGUCGACCCCUAAGGCGAGGCCGAAAGGCGUAGUCGAUGGGAAACGGGUUAAUAUUCCCGUACUUGGUGUUACUGCGAAGGGGGGACGGAGAAGGCUAUGUUGGCCGGGCGACGGUUGUCCCGGUUUAAGCGUGUAGGCUGACUUUCCAGGCAAAUCCGGAGAGUCAAGGCUGAGG